RNAcentral lists this ribosomal RNA (406 nucleotides) under uncultured bacterium. RNAcentral's name for it is "bacterial SSU rRNA". It matches the Rfam family "Bacterial small subunit ribosomal RNA", at positions 355 to 776 of the family's 1533-position model. The record is from RNAcentral.
UGGGGAAUAUUGCACAAUGGGGGAAACCCUGAUGCAGCGACGCCGCGUGAGCGAUGAAGUAUUUCGGUAUGUAAAGCUCUAUCAGCAGGGAAGAAAAAAUGACGGUACCUGACUAAGAAGCACCGGCUAAAUACGUGCCAGCAGCCGCGGUAAUACGUAUGGUGCAAGCGUUAUCCGGAUUUACUGGGUGUAAAGGGAGCGCAGGCGGUGCGGCAAGUCUGAUGUGAAAGCCCGGGGCUCAACCCCGGUACUGCAUUGGAAACUGUCGUACUAGAGUGUCGGAGGGGUAAGUGGAAUUCCUAGUGUAGCGGUGAAAUGCGUAGAUAUUAGGAGGAACACCAGUGGCGAAGGCGGCUUACUGGACGAUUACUGACGCUGAGGCUCGAAAGCGUGGGGAGCAAACAGG